This 433-nucleotide ribosomal RNA is filed under the name uncultured bacterium. RNAcentral describes it as "partial 16S ribosomal RNA". It matches the Rfam family "Bacterial small subunit ribosomal RNA", at positions 29 to 507 of the family's 1533-position model. The record is from RNAcentral.
AACGAACGCUGGCGGCAUGCCUAACACAUGCAAGUCGAACGAGACCUUCGGGUCUAGUGGCGCACGGGUUCGUAACGCGUGGGAACCUGCCCUUAGGUUCGGAAUAACUCCCCGAAAGGGGUGCUAAUACCGGAUAAUGUCUUCGGACCAAAGAUUUAUCGCCUUUGGAUGGGCCCGCGUUGGAUUAGCUAGUUGGUAGGGUAAAAGCAUACCAAGGCGACGAUCCAUAGCUGGUCUGAGAGGAUGAUCAGCCACACUGGGACUGAGACACGGCCCAGACUCCUACGGGAGGCAGCAGUGGGGAAUAUUGGAAAAUGGGCGAAAGCAUGAUCCAGCAAUGACGCGUGAGUGAUGAAGGCCUUAGGGUUGUAAAGCUCUUUUACCCGGGAUGAUAAUGACAGUACCGGGAGAAUAAGCUCCGGCUAACUCCGUG